CCUGGCUCAGGACGAAACGCUGGCGGCGCGCCUCAUACAUGCAAGUCGAGCGAGAACCAGGGCUUGCCCUGGGGAGAGCGGCGAACGGGUGCGUAUCACGUGAGCAACCUGCCUCAGAGACCGGGAUAACUCGAGGAAACUCGGGCUAAUACCGGAUGCCCUCGGUGGAUCGCAUGGUCCGGCGAGGAAAUGGAUUCCGCUCUGAGAUGGGCUCGCGGCCUAUCAGCUUGUUGGUGGGGUAACGGCCUACCAAGGCGACGACGGGUAGCUGGUCUGAGAGGACGAUCAGCCACACUGGGACUGAGACACGGCCCAGACUCCUACGGGAGGCAGCAGUAGGGAAUCUUGCGCAAUGGGCGAAAGCCUGACGCAGCGACGCCGCGUGCGGGAUGAAGGCUUCGGGUCGUAAACCGCUUUCAGCAGGGACGAAAUUGACGGUACCUGCAGAAGAAGGCCCGGCCAACUACGUC
This 470-nucleotide ribosomal RNA is filed under the name uncultured bacterium. Its description in RNAcentral is "bacterial SSU rRNA". It matches the Rfam family "Bacterial small subunit ribosomal RNA", at positions 18 to 507 of the family's 1533-position model. The record is from RNAcentral.